AAGGGAUGCAAAUCAAAUUUAAUUAAAUGGGAUUUAAUUUAAUUAGAUUUAGAUUUGAUUGGAUCAAACUCUAUUAGAUAAUAGGCUUGAUUGGAUCAAGCUCUAUUGAAUAAAAAGUACUUUCCACAUAUGGGGUUUUAAUCUAACUAACUUUCUAAUUGGAUUAGGUUCUAAUUGAUUUUCUAAUUGUGCUAGGAUCUAAUUAGUUAAUUUGUUAUAACUAAUUUCUAAGUUGGUUAGGAUUGGGUUCAAGAAUUAGUUAGAGUUGGACUAAGAAUCAUGAGUCCUAUUUAGACUAGGACUUAACUAACUCUUAACAACUCCAUAUGGCAUUAAAUCCUCCACGCCUCCUCUCCUUUCACCGUGAGAACCCACACCCCAACUAAGAGCCAUGCCCUCUCUUGUUUCUUCCAAAAAAAAUAGUGCCCCCUCUCUCCUUAUCACCAUUGGACGCCCUAUAUCCUCCUACAUGAAGCCCCU
This 480-nucleotide long non-coding RNA is filed under the name Elaeis guineensis (African oil palm). RNAcentral describes it as "long non-coding RNA (EGUI_LNC055149)". Lineage: Eukaryota; Viridiplantae; Streptophyta; Magnoliopsida; Arecales; Arecaceae. The record is from RNAcentral.